Pyrgilauda ruficollis (rufous-necked snowfinch) is the source of this 706-nucleotide long non-coding RNA. RefSeq lists it as uncharacterized. The transcript is spliced from 3 exons. The record is from RefSeq and is a predicted model, not a curated record. Lineage: Eukaryota; Metazoa; Chordata; Aves; Passeriformes; Passeridae.
UUGUUUUCUUUUUCCAGUUAAUAACUUUCCAGACCUCUGCUGAACCAAGCAAGAGUGGAGAUAAGCUAUCGAAUAUAUUUCUUGAAAAAAUCAACAGCUUCAUGCUCCUCCUUAAAGAUCUGCCUUUUGUCUGGUAGAACUGCCUUGCCUGGGACAGUGUAGCUGUGUAUACUCUCCUUUCACAAGCAGGAGACUGGCAAAAGCACCAGCACCACUGUGAGGCACUCUUUGGAAGGCAAGGGCAGUUUCCACUGCCACAACAGCACAAGGAAUGGCCCAGUGUUCAGGAGUAUCACACUUCAGGUUUCCUCAUCAUGGUAGCUUCAUUGUCAGACAAGGAAGAGGAAAAAACUUUGUCCUAAUUAGUAUCGAUCAUCAAAUAGCAAAAUGGAGAUUCCACCUGAGAUGGAAUCACAGAUGCCACACUGAGAACUGGAAAAGCCCUGAAGGCUUUCUAGAGGGGAUAUAAGUAUAUUUGAUCUUCCUGGCUUUCUAUGCUCAUUCCUGACAAGCAGUGACAAGUGACCAGGAGGCAGUAAUUGGCUUCAAGGCAGCUUCACUGUGACUGAGUAAGGAAGUGGCAUCAUAUUUUUGCUGUGCAAACCCAAACUAAGGACUGGCCCAGCUGAAAACACAUUUUCUGAGGGCAAAAUUCACCUGUUCUAUGAUGAUAUCUUGUAUAAUAAUAUAACUACAUUGACUUGUA